This 484-nucleotide ribosomal RNA is filed under the name uncultured bacterium. RNAcentral's name for it is "partial 16S ribosomal RNA". It matches the Rfam family "Bacterial small subunit ribosomal RNA", at positions 28 to 506 of the family's 1533-position model. The record is from RNAcentral.
GAUGAACGCUAGCGAUAGGCUUAACACAUGCAAGUCGAGGGGCAGCGAGGGUAGCAAUACCUGUCGGCGACCGGCGCACGGGUGAGUAACGCGUAUGUAACCUGCCCGCAACAGGGGGAUAACCCGGCGAAAGUCGGACUAAUACCGCAUAAAACAGGGGUCCCGCAUGGGAAUAUUUGUUAAAGAUUUAUCGGUUGCGGAUGGGCAUGCGUACCAUUAGGUAGUUGGUGAGGUAACGGCUCACCAAGCCUUCGAUGGUUAGGGGUUCUGAGAGGAAGGUCCCCCACACUGGUACUGAGACACGGACCAGACUCCUACGGGAGGCAGCAGUGAGGAAUAUUGGUCAAUGGGCGAGAGCCUGAACCAGCCAAGUCGCGUGAAGGAUGACUGCCCUAUGGGUUGUAAACUUCUUUUACAAGGGAAUAAAAUGAGAUACGUGUAUUUUAUUGCAUGUACCUUGGGAAUAAGCAUCGGCUAACUCCGU